GGGGUUAAGGAAAAAAUUGGUUUCAUGUUAACACCCAUUUUUAUUUCAUGUUAGUCAAAUGGGUUGAGGAUUGUUAACUUUAAAUUGGUUAAUGUGAACAUUAAGGUUAACCUGACUGUUAACAUUAAGCUGGAACUAAAAUAGAUGGGCAUAUUUUUACUCAUAGUUUCAAAUUAAACAAAAUAUUUUUGGUAUUUAUUGAAUACUUUUGUAUUUACUUAAGCUUUAUCUGGGACAUUAUUCAGUGGUGAUUUGCAGAAUGAUAAUGAGUUGUGGUGCACAGCAGAUGUGAGCUGUGGGUUUUGUUUUGGGGUUCACAUUAGAGAGCUUGAGGAAGAAGUGAAACUUCUUUAUAUUUCUCAAUGCCUUAAGUUUUUGGUACGUUUUUCGAUAAAUUACAUUUGUAUUCAACUACAUUUUAAUAAAUUACAUUUGUAUUCAACUACAUCGUGUCAUUACGCACGAGCAUACUUUUUAUUCUUUACUUUACAUAGCUCUUAUUCUUCCCUUUUUAUUCU
This is a non-coding RNA of Camellia sinensis, 518 nucleotides long. Lineage: Eukaryota; Viridiplantae; Streptophyta; Magnoliopsida; Ericales; Theaceae. The record is from RefSeq and is a predicted model, not a curated record.